GUUGGUAGCCAUGGAGGAGAGGGUACACCCAAUCCCAUUCCGAACUUGGAAGUUAAGCUCUCCAUCGCCGAUGAUACUGCAUAAC
RNAcentral lists this ribosomal RNA (85 nucleotides) under Desulfovibrio intestinalis. Lineage: Bacteria; Pseudomonadati; Thermodesulfobacteriota; Desulfovibrionia; Desulfovibrionales; Desulfovibrionaceae. The record is from RNAcentral.